GCUACGGGGUGCAGCAGUGAGGAAUAUUGGUCAAUGGACGAGAGUCUGAACCAGCCAAGUAGCGUGAAGGAUGACUGCCCUAUGGGUUGUACACUUCUUUUAUAUGGGAAUAAAACGUUCCACGUGUGGGAUUUUGUAUGUACCAUAUGAAUAAGGAUCGGCGAACUCCGCGCCAGCAGCCGCGGUAAUACGGAGGAUCUGAGCGUUAUCCGGAUUUAUUGGGUUUAAAGGGAGCGUAGGUGGGUUGUUAAGUCAGUUGUGAAAGUUUACGGCUCAACCGUAAAAUUGCAGUUGAAACUGGCAGUCUUGAGUACAGUAGAGGUGGGCGGAAUUCGUGGUGUAGCGGUGAAAUGCUUAGAGAUCACGAAGAACUCCGAUUGCGAAGGCAGUUCACUGGACUGCAACUGACACUGAGGCGCGAAAGUGUGGGUAUCAAACAGGAUUAGAUACCCCAGUAGUC
RNAcentral lists this ribosomal RNA (460 nucleotides) under uncultured bacterium. RNAcentral's name for it is "partial 16S ribosomal RNA". It matches the Rfam family "Bacterial small subunit ribosomal RNA", at positions 338 to 795 of the family's 1533-position model. The record is from RNAcentral.